CAAUAGCGUAUAUUUAAGUUGUUGCAGUUAAAAAGCUCGUAGUUGGAUUUCGGGUGGGUACCGCCGGUCUCCCAUUGGGUAUGUACUGGCGUGGCCCGCCUUGCUGUCGGGGACGGUCUCCUGGGCUUAAUUGCUCGGGAAUCGGAGUCGACGAUGUUACUUUGAGUAAAUUAGAGUGUUCAAAGCAAGCCUACGCUCUGAAUAUGAUAGCAUGGGAUAACACGACAGGACUCUGGCCUAUCGUGUUGGUCUGUAGGACCGGAGUAAUGAUUAAGAGGGACAGUCGGGGGCAUUCGUAUUCCAUUGUCAGAGGUGAAAUUCUUGGAUUUAUGGAAGACGAACAUCUGCGAAAGCAUUUGCCAAGGAUGUUUUCAUUAA
RNAcentral lists this ribosomal RNA (378 nucleotides) under uncultured eukaryote. RNAcentral describes it as "partial 18S ribosomal RNA". It matches the Rfam family "Eukaryotic small subunit ribosomal RNA", at positions 592 to 976 of the family's 1831-position model. The record is from RNAcentral.